RNAcentral lists this long non-coding RNA (221 nucleotides) under Lathyrus oleraceus (garden pea). RNAcentral's name for it is "Pisum sativum (pea) long non-coding RNA (PSAT_LNC035269)". Lineage: Eukaryota; Viridiplantae; Streptophyta; Magnoliopsida; Fabales; Fabaceae. The record is from RNAcentral.
CCGAAUCUAACAUCAAACAAGACAAUCCAAACUGAGCCCACCAAAAGCGUUUCGCAGAGAUACCUGUUUCGAUAUACCAUAGACCAAUUUGAAACCCUGGCCUGUUGAAUAUAAAGGGUGGGAGUGGAAACGAUUGUAGGAGGAGACGAAAAACCCUAAAUUUCAAGCGGGCACAAACAGAAACCCUUAUUCGAAAAACAAAAACCUAAAUCUAAAACGAC